Molecule: ribosomal RNA, 476 nt
Filed under: uncultured Psychrobacter sp.
Lineage: Bacteria; Pseudomonadati; Pseudomonadota; Gammaproteobacteria; Moraxellales; Moraxellaceae
Description: bacterial SSU rRNA
Rfam family: Bacterial small subunit ribosomal RNA
Source: RNAcentral
UACCAUGCAGUCGAGCGGAACGACGAUGCUUGCUAUCAGGCGUCGAGCGGCGGACGGGUGAGUAAUACUUAGGAAUCUACCUAGUAGUGGGGGAUAGCACGGGGAAACUCGUAUUAAUACCGCAUACGUCCUACGGGAGAAAGGGGGCAACUUGUUGCUCUCGCUAUUAGAUGAGCCUAAGUCGGAUUAGCUAGAUGGUGGGGUAAAGGCCUACCAUGGCGACGAUCUGUAGCUGGUCUGAGAGGAUGAUCAGCCACACCGGGACUGAGACACGGCCCGGACUCCUACGGGAGGCAGCAGUGGGGAAUAUUGGACAAUGGGGGAAACCCUGAUCCAGCCAUGCCGCGUGUGUGAAGAAGGCCUUUUGGUUGUAAAGCACUUUAAGCAGUGAAGAAGACCUAACGGUUAAUACCCGUUAGCGAUGACAUUAGCUGCAGAAUAAGCACCGGCUAACUCUGUGCCAGCAGCCGCGGUAA